RNAcentral lists this long non-coding RNA (2531 nucleotides) under Malus domestica (apple). RNAcentral's name for it is "long non-coding RNA (MDOM_LNC004262)". Lineage: Eukaryota; Viridiplantae; Streptophyta; Magnoliopsida; Rosales; Rosaceae. The record is from RNAcentral.
AAAGUUUUCUUGUUUCUCUUAUAUUGCAAUUCCUCCACCAAGGUGAUAUAGUUUUUUAGUUUGCUGAGUGUGUGUGUAUAUAUACACAAGCCCUUUAUCCAAAUGGAUUUCCAUUCUUGGGUAAAAAUGAGACUAGUUGUAGGACCUACUCUACAUCGAUUUUCAAUGAUUUGAACCGUUUAUCUUGCAAGUCUCGAUUCAUAAAUCAUCCUUGCAGAAAUUCAAUUCAAUCACAAACCAUUUGCCUAUUUAAUUAUCACAAUAAAAUUUCGUUGUUUUUUGUAGAACAAAGUGUCAAUUUCUUUGUACUCUUAAUUAGACGCCUCAAAUAUUUCUGAUUUUGCUAAUAUUUUGUAAGGAUGAUCUAUGAGGUGCAACUUGAAAAAUACACGGUUUAGAUCGUUAAAGUUCAAUGUGGUGUGAACUCCACAACUAAUCCGCAUUUAAAAAUAAAUAAAUAGAGAUCGUUAAAGUUCGAUGUGAUUAACCUUAAUAUUUAUCAUUUUGUGUUUAUUUUUAUGAUCUCCAAUUGACAAAUUAAAAUUCAAACUCCCAGUACUAAAGUUUAGCACAAAAGAAAAUUGGGGUUUCGGAAAAUUGAAAAUUGAAAGUUUCAACAUUUCAAUCAAUAAUUCCACUCUUUGGUGAACAAAGAGACAUUUCACAAUAUGCAAUAUAUUAAACAAGAUCAAAUUACUAGUUGAUGCCAUCACACAAGUGAUACAAAGUAAUCACACAAAGCAACAAAAAAAAAAAAAGCGUUGGUUCAAUGGGGCAGCCCAGCUAUCCAUGAUGGAUCCGGAUGGCACCGACCCGUUAUCCUUCCACUGCCAAGAGCGGGAGGUAAUCGUUGCUCUGUGAAACCAGCCUUACGCGGUUCCAUCCGCUCUAGAAAUCGUGUAGCCUAGAGCCUUCGCUCAAGCCACACAACUCAACUCCUAGCUUGGAAUGGGCAGGCCGGAAUAGAGCCACUCCAGACCCGAACAGCCAACGCUGAACCAAUGUUCCAACACCUCAAUGCCCCCACUUGGGUUACAAGCUUGCGUUACCAAGCUCGACGAUUAUUCAUCCUUGUGCUGGUAUUAUGAAGAACAGUUUUGCACUUCACUUGCCCGAUGUGGGACUGUUUAACUAGCUUAAAUUUAUGUAUGUACUUUAGAAAAAUUUAAUUAUUAUUAUCAAAGAGAGGGAUGAUUCAAAACUAUUAUAAUAAUUUAAUCGAUGAAGAGUUUUGAAAUGUUAAAUAAGCAAUUGGAUCACCAUGUUUUUGAAAUGUUAGACAGAUUUCUAGCUGCUCGACAAAUACUUCUUUGGUCUUGAAUAUUUUGUUGUAGGCAAUGGAGCGACGGUACGCGUAUGACAGGAUAGGUGGCUUCCGAGGCCGAAUACAUUCAAAGUGUUAUCAGUGGCACCAGUUUCGCAGAAACAUAUGAGGGUGCAGGACCUACUUGAUCCGGUAAGCAAGUCUUUGAGCCUCGAAGUUUUAUCUGCGUUAUUUUUGGAGGAAGAGGUGAAUCUUAUACGCACUAUGCCUACUAGUAUUUGUAUGCCGGCGGAUUGUUUCAUGAGCGGGGAUUCAGAACAUUGAAAGUUCCAACAUUUCAAUCAAUAAUUCCACUCGUUGGUGAUCAAAUUACUGAUUACCUAACAAAUGAACAAAAAAAGCAUUGGUUCAAUUUAGGCAGCCCAGCUAUCCAUGAUGGAACUGGAUGGCACCGACCUGUUAUCCUUCCACUACUAAGAGCAGGAGGUUGUCACGGUUCCCUCUGCUCUAGAAAUUGUAUAGCCCAGAGCCUUUGCUCAGGCCACACAACUCAACUCCUAGCUUGGAAUAAAGCCACUCCAGACGCAAACAACUAACUCUGAACCAAUUUUCCAACACUUCAAUGCCACCACUUGGGUUACAAGCUUGCGUUACUAAUCACGGCGAUUAUUCAUCCUUCUGCUGGUAUUAUGAAGAGCAAUUUGUGCUUCACUUUGCCGAUGUGGGACUAUUUAACUAGCUUAAAUUUAUUUAUUUAUUAUAGAAAUUUUUAUUAUUUUUAAGAGGAGGGGUAGGGUUCAAAACUAUUAUAAUAAUUUGAGCGAAGGGAAGUUUCGAACCAAUGACGCAUAGGUAAAAAUCAAAUACCCUACCCACUAAGAUAUUCAACCACAUGCUACCACCUUCAAUUUAUGAGUAUGCAUCAAGGGUCUAAUUGUAAGCUCAACUUUUGGGCAUUAUGCAAGUUCAGAUAAGCAAUUGAAUCACCAUGUUCAAGCACACAGACAGAUUUCUAGCUGCUCCACAAGUACUUGUUGGCCUUCAAUAUUUUGUUUUUCAAGAUAAAAGAUGGGAAGUAAAGUUCACAAGGACAUGCAUUGACUUGAAUCAUGAUUGAAUGGACCUGGUAAUGCAUAUCUGUGUGUCUCAUUCGGGGGAGAGACUCUCGUGUAACCGGAGAGGCAAAUAUAUACUAGACAGUUGAUACACUAUUUGAACACAUAACGAUCAUUCAUUAGAUCGAGAAAGCCACUAAGACUGUAAUGGU